This 370-nucleotide ribosomal RNA is filed under the name uncultured soil bacterium. RNAcentral's name for it is "bacterial SSU rRNA". It matches the Rfam family "Bacterial small subunit ribosomal RNA", at positions 26 to 372 of the family's 1533-position model. The record is from RNAcentral.
AGAGUGAACGCUGGCGGUAGGCCUAACACAUGCAAGUCGAACGGCAGCACAGUAGGAGCUUGCUCUUACGGGUGGCGAGUGGCGGACGGGUGAGGAAUACAUCGGAAUCAACCUUUUGGGUGGGGGAUAACGUAGGGAAACUUACGCUAAUACCGCAUACGCCCUUCGGGGGAAAGCCGGGGACCAGCAAUGGCCUGGCGCUGAUAGGUGAGCCGAUGCGGAUUAGCUAGUUGGUGAGGUAAUGGCUCACCGAAGGCGACGAUCCGUAGCUGGUCUAGAGAGGAUGAUCGAGCCCACACGUGGAAACCUGGAGACGACCGGUCCAAGACCUCCGUACGGGGAGGCAGCAGGUAGGGGAAUUAGUUGGAAC